GACGAACGCUGGCGGCGUGCUUAACACAUGCAAGUCGAACGGAAAGGCCCUGCUUUUGUGGGGUGCUCGAGUGGCGAACGGGUGAGUAACACGUGAGUAACCUGCCCUUGACUUUGGGAUAACUUCAGGAAACUGGGGCUAAUACCGGAUAGGAGCUCCUGCUGCAUGGUGGGGGUUGGAAAGUUUCGGCGGUUGGGGAUGGACUCGCGGCUUAUCAGCUUGUUGGUGGGGUAGUGGCUUACCAAGGCUUUGACGGGUAGCCGGCCUGAGAGGGUGACCGGCCACCUUUGGACUUGGAUUCGGCCCCGACCCCUUCCGGGGGCCGCAGGUGGGAAUAAUGCCCAAUGGGCCGAAGCCCUAUGCCACAACCCCCGGGUCGGGAUUACCGCCUUCCGGUUUGAAACCCCCUUCCCCUUUUACCAAGCGUUAGGUACGGUAAUUGGUAAAGGAACACCCGGUUACUACGUG
RNAcentral lists this ribosomal RNA (468 nucleotides) under uncultured bacterium. Its description in RNAcentral is "partial 16S ribosomal RNA". It matches the Rfam family "Bacterial small subunit ribosomal RNA", at positions 28 to 507 of the family's 1533-position model. The record is from RNAcentral.